CCUACGGGUGGCAGCAGUGGGGAAUAUUGCACAAUGGGGGAAACCCUGAUGCAGCGACGCCGCGUGAAGGAAGAAGUAUUUCGGUAUGUAAACUUCUAUCAGCAGGGAAGAAAAUGACGGUACCUGACUAAGAAGCCCCGGCUAACUACGUGCCAGCAGCCGCGGUAAUACGUAGGGGGCAAGCGUUAUCCGGAUUUACUGGGUGUAAGGGGAGCGUAGGCGGUAAUGCAAGUCAGAAGUGAAAGCCCGGGGCUCAACUCCGGGACUGCUUUUGAAACUGUGUUGCUAGAGUGCAGGAGAGGUAAGUGGAAUGCCUAGUGUAGCGGUGAAAUGCGUAGAUAUUAGGAGGAACACCAGUGGCGAAGGCGGCUUACUGGACUGUAAAUGACGCUGAGGCUCGAAAGCGUGGGGAGCAAACAGGAUUAGAUACCCGAGUAGUC
This 440-nucleotide ribosomal RNA is filed under the name uncultured bacterium. Its description in RNAcentral is "partial 16S ribosomal RNA". It matches the Rfam family "Bacterial small subunit ribosomal RNA", at positions 338 to 795 of the family's 1533-position model. The record is from RNAcentral.